GAGGAGGAAGAAAAGCAUCUUCAGUCCGAGCAUUGUGUUGGUGACUUGAAGACUGCCUUGGAUGACAAGGAAAGAGAAGCAAUAACUUCUUCCCAGAAACUGCAGGACCUCCUGUUGGCAUCUUCUGAGACUAAUCCAACUGUAAAACAACUGGAAGAAGACGCGCAACACUUUGCAAGUGAAAAGAGCAGAUUGGAAGCCACUGUCCAGCAACCAAGCGAUAGCGUUGAAGCCCUUCUGAGAGACCUGCAAGCCUCUGCCUCAGUUGGUGAACUUUCCCAGCAGCUGGACAUGGAGCCUAGAACAACCAUGCAGCUAGAGGCCCAAAAAAAGGCUUUGCAAGAAGAACUGUCCACUCUGUGUGGGAAGUGUGAAAAACUGGAGAAGAGCAAAUGCCAGCUGCAAGAAGAGGUGACAAAACUCCAUCAUCGUUUGGAGACUUUGGUGCUGGAUGGCAGCCAAACAGAACAAUGGAAAAGAGAGGUGGAAGAAUGAGCUGACCAGGAAAUAAGUCCAAAGCUACAAGAUGUCAGCCUCGUUUUGCAAGCACAGGCAGCCUACCAGGACAUGUUAGAAGAAAGCAGAACCAGUCACUUGGACUCACUGAAAAACCAGUUAGAAGACAGAAUUAGAGAUCUUGAACGUGCACUCGGAAGGAGAAAAAGCAACCAACCAGAAAGACCUUUUCAAAAAGAAUCCGCCCAGGCAGAAGUGGAAAAAUACAAAGAGCUGUAUCUGGUGGAAGCCAAAACCAGAAAAAGCCUAGCCAAGAAACUGGAAAAAGCUAAUGAGAGACUUGCAGAGGCCAACACCAAGCUCCUUCGGGAGUGCCACAGAAGCAAAUCUGCAGUCCCAAGCAGCGCCGUCAGCGGACAUCUGGCUGCAAGUCCACUUCUGGAUUCAACUGGCCUGGGACAUCUUGCCAUCAGCUUGGGACUGAACAGAAGUCUGGCUCUCACAACACCACCCAGACAUCUGUGGUAAAGCCCAAGACUUCUGCUCAUCAGGCACGACAGGAACGGGAUGCAAAAAUGGCUAGAGACCCUCAACGAGCCUUCCAGUUGAGACUUGAAUGUGAAAACUUGCUGCUUCCCAAAAUGUUGCGUCCAAUGUUAUGAAGUUGCCUGGAAAAAGCCAAGCACAAAGAAACACUUGGCUUAAGCUGAAGUUGCCCUUCACUAGAGUUGAUCUCAAGCACAAACAGCAAAGCAGACACGAGAUCAGAUUUUCAGAAGCUUCAGCCAU
This is a long non-coding RNA of Neopelma chrysocephalum (saffron-crested tyrant-manakin), 1245 nucleotides long. RefSeq lists it as uncharacterized. The record is from RefSeq and is a predicted model, not a curated record. The transcript is spliced from 7 exons. NCBI's taxonomy places the organism in Eukaryota, Metazoa, Chordata, Aves, Passeriformes, Pipridae.